CUGGGAAGGUAAUGCGACUCUGAUGACUCGGCUUGUAGGAGCAAAACGUGGGAAAUAUUUAUCGAGUGAACAUAUGCGCACUCUCCAAUACCAACAUUCGACAUCCAUACUCCCUCUUGGUCCUUAUCGAUGAUUCGAAUGUUAAGAUCAAUUGGCAAUAAGUUUUUCACUUCUAGGAGCGCAGAAAUCGUAAUAUGCAUAAAAGGAUAAUGGUUGGAUAUAGUUUGACUUUUAAGUUCUGCAUUAGCGGCAAAACGACACGCAGGAGUCGAGAAGGUGUUAUCUGAAUGUUGGCAUGUCACAAGGCUCUGUUUGUUGUCAACUAGAUCUUUCCAAGAUAUAGCUUCCGAAGUCCAAUUAAAUUUAAAUUCUGAAACCGGUCUAAUGUGAAUUGAAUAAUAAUAAGCAGUUUCAAUUGGCAAAGAGCAACUCUCUUCAGGGCUCAUGUGGUAUAUCUGUGACCUUUGAAUGCCAUCUGAGUCGCAAAAAACUACAUCUAUUUCCAUUUGGGUCUCAUUUAUCAAUAAAAGUGGGGAACGUAGAGUGAUAUGUUUAAUAUAAUCUUCUCCCAAAUUGACAUCAACUACCAUAUAAUGCUUUAGCUCGUCUUGAUCAUAGGAAAUUAAGGGAUAUAUAUGCUCUCCUACACGAUUAACUCGUACAUGUCGUAAAGACUCCCAUUUACUGUUUUCGAAAUGGAACCCUAUAUAAGAUCUAUCCUGAUCUUGUUUAACCACAUCCUGCAUUUGUCUCCAUUCUUCAAAUUUCCAGUCGGUUUCUUCGUUAUUUUCGAGAUGUCUAACGCAAGAAUCUGCAGCAUUUUCAAAAUCUGCCCAAACACUAACAGCAUGUCCUGUGUAGUUGUGAAUACGAUAAGGUGCGUCACAUUUGAAUUCAAUAGGAAAUGGAGUACUGAUAACUUUGGUGAAACCAAAAUGUAGAGUCUCAAUUAACUGAGGAGUAAUAACCAGAUCUAAUUUCUCUCUCGAAAAAACAUGUACCGCAGUCUUCGAUGUGUUUGGAUUCCUAGAAAUAUGUACACCUACUUUCCAGGGCUCUAAAAAGGGCUCCCAAUGAGAGUUAGAGAAGUUAUAAAAAUUCAUAAAAAGCUCCAAAUGUGCAUUUGAAUUUAACUCGGAAGACCAAUCGUUAAGAUCUACCUGAAAAGGCUUAAUGUUAAUAUUUAAAAGUGGAAGAUCAUGUAGUUGACUAAUAACCAAUAGUCGAAUACCGUCAACUGUUAAUAAAAAUUCUUCCUUGCAUAUACGUAUUCCAAAAACAGAAGAAGGCUGACCGGUGUCUACUGACAAUUGAAGAAAAUCGGGAUUCGUCGCUAGUUGAUCAUCCUUCGUUCUCUUCAGCAAUUCAACAUCGGUUGUGGGGACAUCGUAUAGGGCAUAAUAAAAAUUAUAUAUCUUACGUAAAAUAGUUUGGAGGAACAGAAAGUCGUUCACUGUAGUCCUUAAGACAAACGAAUCAAAAUCAAGAGUGAUGUUGGUGAUUAUCUGAAUUUUGUUGACGGUAUGCUGCGAAUAUGUGUAACGAAAUCCAAAAGGGUCUGCUAACUGAUUAGAUAUAUUGGCCGUCUCGCUGAGAGGACAAGCAUUAAUCUUCAUGUUGUUAGCAGUAACCGCAAAGAUCGAUUGUUGGGUAAUUAAUA
Non-coding RNA from Schizosaccharomyces pombe (fission yeast), 1660 nucleotides. The record is from the annotation of a GenBank genome assembly. Lineage: Eukaryota; Fungi; Ascomycota; Schizosaccharomycetes; Schizosaccharomycetales; Schizosaccharomycetaceae.